UACGUAGGGUGCGAGCGUUGUCCGGAAUUAUUGGGCGUAAAGAGCUUGUAGGCGGUUUGUCGCGUCUGCUGUGAAAAUCCGGGGCUCAACCCCGGACUUGCAGUGGGUACGGGCAGACUUAGAGUGUGGUAGGGGAGACUGGAAUUCCUGGUGUAGCGGUGAAAUGCGCAGAUAUCAGGAGGAACACCGAUGGCGAAGGCAGGUCUCUGGGCCACUACUGACGCUGAGAAGCGAAAGCAUGGGGAGCGAACAGG
This 254-nucleotide ribosomal RNA is filed under the name uncultured bacterium. RNAcentral's name for it is "partial 16S ribosomal RNA". It matches the Rfam family "Bacterial small subunit ribosomal RNA", at positions 524 to 776 of the family's 1533-position model. The record is from RNAcentral.